Molecule: ribosomal RNA, 497 nt
Filed under: uncultured bacterium
Lineage: Bacteria
Description: partial 16S ribosomal RNA
Rfam family: Bacterial small subunit ribosomal RNA
Source: RNAcentral
GAUGAACGCUGGCGGCGUGCCUAAUACAUGCAAGUCGAGCGAACAGACGAGGAGCUUGCUCCUCUGACGUUAGCGGCGGACGGGUGAGUAACACGUGGAUAACCUACCUAUAAGACUGGGAUAACUUCGGGAAACCGGAGCUAAUACCGGAUAAUAUAUUGAACCGCAUGGUUCAAUAGUGAAUGACGGUUUUGCUGUCACUUAUAGAUGGAUCCGCGCCGCAUUAGCUAGUUGGUAAGGUAACGGCUUACCAAGGCAACGAUGCGUAGCCGACCUGAGAGGGUGAUCGGCCACCCUGGAACUGAGACACGGUCCAGACUCCUACGGGAGGCAGCAGUAGGGAAUCUUCCGCAAUGGGCGAAAGCCUGACGGAGCAACGCCGCGUGAGUGAUGAAGGUCUUCGGAUCGUAAAACUCUGUUAUUAGGGAAGAACAAAUGUGUAAGUAACUAUGCACGUCUUGACGGUACCUAAUCAGAAAGCCACGGCUAACUACGUG